Molecule: ribosomal RNA, 407 nt
Filed under: uncultured bacterium
Lineage: Bacteria
Description: bacterial LSU rRNA
Rfam family: Bacterial large subunit ribosomal RNA
Source: RNAcentral
GGUAGCGAAAUUCCGUUGUCGGGGUAAGUUCCGACCUGCACGAAUGGCGUAACGGAUGGCCACACUGUCUCCUCCUGGGACUCAGCGAAGGUUGAAAUGUUUGUGAAGAUGCAAUCUCCCCGCGGCUAGACGGAAGACCCCGUGCACCUUUACUGUAGCUUUACAUUGGACUUUGAUAACACUUGUGUAGGAUAGGUGGGAGGCUUUGAAGUGGAUUCGCUAGAAUUCAUGGAGCCAUCCUUGAAAUACCACCCUGGUGUUGUUGAGGUUCUAACCUAAAUCCAUUAUCUGGAUUGGGGACCGUGUAUGGUAGGCAGUUUUGACUGGGGCGGUCUCCUCCCAAAUUGUAACGGAGGAGUACGAAGGUACGCUAGGUACGGUCGGAAAUCGUGCUGAUAGUGCAAUGG